Molecule: long non-coding RNA, 1183 nt
Organism: Bombina bombina (fire-bellied toad)
Lineage: Eukaryota; Metazoa; Chordata; Amphibia; Anura; Bombinatoridae
Exons: 3
Source: RefSeq, a predicted model, not a curated record
CCUCUCAGCUUCGCACAAUCAUCUCUGUGUUCGGGGGAAAGGCCUGUCACAGCCACCUUCAGAAAGAUAGAAGGAGUACCCAUAACACAGAGGAGACGGCUGCAGUGCUGGUAUUAUGUCAUAUGUUGGAUUAAGUUGACAAGUGCUGAAAGUCCCUGGUUCACCGAUCGGUCCUUGGAAGUCUUGAUCCAAGCCCAAGCGGGGGGCUGAAGAGUGACGUCCAUCCUCGCGCUGAAGACUGGAUCCAAGCGGCAGCUGAAGAAAUCCAUCAUCGGGCUGAAGUCAGAAGUCCAUCAUCGGGAUGAAGUCUUCUAUCAAGCCGCAUCUUCAAUCUUCUUUCUUCUGGAGCGGAGCGGAGCCAUCUUCUUCCAAGCAGGACGAUGCUUCAUGCCCCACAGCCAAGUCAACUAAGGUGUGUAUGGAGGACCAUCAGAUCAAGACCCUGUCAUGGCCAGCCCAAUCUCCAGACCUGAACCCCAUUGAAAACCUCUGGAAUGUGAUCAAGAGGAAGAUAGAUGGUCACCAGCCAUCAAACAAAGUCAAGCAACUUGAGUUUUUGCACCAGGAGUGACAUAAAGUCACCCAAUAGUUUGCCAAUAAUGAUAGCCGAUAUUGUCAGUUUGUUAUUUCAGCGAUCACAAAUACGUCUUCAGAUGAUAACCCUCAAGCACAAAGUCAAUAACUCCCCAAAAAACACAGAAAUCAUUUAAAAAUGGUGAUUUCCUGAGUUUAGCAAUUACUGCAGGGGGCGGCAUUGCACAAGCAGUUCACCAGAACUGCUUGUGCAAUGAUAAAUGCCGACAGCGUAUGUCUGGUGGACAUGAUCUGCUACAGCGGUGUAGAUAUACAUAGAAAAUGGCUGAUUAUAAAUGCCGGAACAUAGAAACAGGCUCAUCUGCAGCAGAUAAUUAGCAAACAGAUUGCGAUCAACCUCAUAGUUCUUAUUUAAUUUUGAGCAAUUUAUUGAAGUCUUAUGACCGUAAACAUAUUAUAAACUGUUUUGAAACAAUGCUAGUCAUAAAAGCCAAUAAAGUGCCUAUCUCAUGCCUAAAUUGCUAAAGACAAUAAUCUUGAACCUUCUGAAUUCCUAGGUGACUAAUCCAUUUCAAAGUUCCCUUUGUUCCAUGUCCAGUAAUAUAUACCAUGUACUUUCCCAGAGCUGUAAAACUAAAUCUAGCAGGAA